This 427-nucleotide ribosomal RNA is filed under the name uncultured bacterium. RNAcentral's name for it is "bacterial SSU rRNA". It matches the Rfam family "Bacterial small subunit ribosomal RNA", at positions 355 to 774 of the family's 1533-position model. The record is from RNAcentral.
UGGGGAAUUUUGGACAAUGGGCGAAAGCCUGAUCCAGCCAUGCCGCGUGAGUGAAGAAGGCCUUCGGGUUGUAAAGCUCUUUUAGUCGGAAAGAAAGAGUUGCAAUGAAUAAUUGUGAUUUAUGACGGUACCGACAGAAAAAGCACCGGCUAACUACGUGCCAGCAGCCGCGGUAAUACGUAGGGUGCGAGCGUUAAUCGGAAUUACUGGGCGUAAAGGGUGCGCAGGCGGUCUUACAAGUCAGAUGUGAAAGCCCCGGGCUUAACCUGGGAAUUGCGUUUGAAACUACAAGACUAGAGUGCAGCAGAGGGGAGUGGAAUUCCAUGUGUAGCAGUGAAAUGCGUAGAGAUGUGGAAGAACACCGAUGGCGAAGGCAGCUCCCUGGGUUGACACUGACGCUCCUGCACGAAAGCGUGGGGAGCAAACA